GCUUACGGCCAUAUCGUUCUGACUGCACCCGAUCUCGUCUGAUCUCGGAAGAUAAGCGGGGCUGGGCUUGGUUAGUAAUUUGUUUGGGAGACUGCCUGGGAAUACCAAGCGCUGUAAGCU
RNAcentral lists this ribosomal RNA (120 nucleotides) under Paramormyrops kingsleyae. The record is from RNAcentral. Lineage: Eukaryota; Metazoa; Chordata; Actinopteri; Osteoglossiformes; Mormyridae.